Molecule: ribosomal RNA, 604 nt
Filed under: Enterobacter asburiae
Lineage: Bacteria; Pseudomonadati; Pseudomonadota; Gammaproteobacteria; Enterobacterales; Enterobacteriaceae
Also listed under: 1 other name
Description: partial 23S ribosomal RNA
Rfam family: Bacterial large subunit ribosomal RNA
Source: RNAcentral
UCGUGGUGUGACUGCGUACCUUUUGUAUAAUGGGUCAGCGACUUAUAUUCUGUAGCAAGGUUAACCGUAUAGGGGAGCCGAAGGGAAACCGAGUCUUAACUGGGCGUUAAGUUGCAGGGUAUAGACCCGAAACCCGGUGAUCUAGCCAUGGGCAGGUUGAAGGUUGGGUAACACUAACUGGAGGACCGAACCGACUAAUGUUGAAAAAUUAGCGGAUGACUUGUGGCUGGGGGUGAAAGGCCAAUCAAACCGGGAGAUAGCUGGUUCUCCCCGAAAGCUAUUUAGGUAGCGCCUCGUGAACUCAUCUUCGGGGGUAGAGCACUGUUUCGGCUAGGGGGCCAUCCCGGCUUACCAACCCGAUGCAAACUACGAAUACCGAAGAAUGUUAUCACGGGAGACACACGGCGGGUGCUAACGUCCGUCGUGAAGAGGGAAACAACCCAGACCGCCAGCUAAGGUCCCAAAGUCAUGGUUAAGUGGGAAACGAUGUGGGAAGGCACAGACAGCCAGGAUGUUGGCUUAGAAGCAGCCAUCAUUUAAAGAAAGCGUAAUAGCUCACUGGUCGAGUCGGCCUGCGCGGAAGAUGUAACGGGGCUAAACCAUG